UACGAAGGGGGCGAGCGUUGUUCGGAUUUACUGGGCGUAAAGGGCGCGCAGGCGGUUCUGUUUGUCGAGUGUGAAAGCCCCGGGCUCAACCUGGGAACUGCGCUCGAAACGGCGGAACUAGAGUUCGGGAGAGGAGAGUGGAAUUCCCAGUGUAGAGGUGAAAUUCGUAGAUAUUGGGAAGAACACCGGUGGCGAAGGCGGCUCAUCUG
RNAcentral lists this ribosomal RNA (209 nucleotides) under uncultured bacterium. RNAcentral describes it as "partial 16S ribosomal RNA". It matches the Rfam family "Bacterial small subunit ribosomal RNA", at positions 524 to 731 of the family's 1533-position model. The record is from RNAcentral.